This 182-nucleotide ribosomal RNA is filed under the name Botryosphaeria dothidea. RNAcentral's name for it is "partial 18S ribosomal RNA". The record is from RNAcentral. Lineage: Eukaryota; Fungi; Ascomycota; Dothideomycetes; Botryosphaeriales; Botryosphaeriaceae.
GGGUCUCGAGCUGAUCGGGCUCCGGCCCGAUCCUCCCACCCUUUGUGUACCUACCUCUGUUGCUUUGGCGGGCCGCGGUCCUCCGCGGCCGCCCCCCUCCCCGGGGGGUGGCCAGCGCCCGCCAGAGGACCAUCAAACUCCAGUCAGUAAACGAUGCAGUCUGAAAAACAUUUAAUAAACUA